AUGCACGCUGGCGGCGUGCCUCAUACAUGCAAGUCGAGCGCACAGACGAGGAGCUUGCUCCUUUGACGUUAGCGGCGGACGGGUGAGUAACACGUGGGUAACCUACCUAUAAGACUGGGAUAACUUCGGGAAACCGGAGCUAAUACCGGAUAAUAUUUCGAACCGCAUGGUUCGAUAGUGAAAGAUGGCUUUGCUAUCACUUAUAGAUGGACCUGCGCCGUAUUAGCUAGUUGGUAAGGUAACGGCUUACCAAGGCAACGAUACGUAGCCGACCUGAGAGGGUGAUCGGCCACACUGGAACUGAGACACGGUCCAGACUCCUACGGGAGGCAGCAGUAGGGAAUCUUCCGCAAUGGGCGAAAGCCUGACGGAGCAACGCCGCGUGAGUGAUGAAGGUCUUCGGAUCGUAAAACUCUGUUAUUAGGGAAGAACAAACGUGUAAGUAACUGUGCACGUCUUGACGGUACCUAAUCAGAAAGCCACGGCUAACUACGUG
This 496-nucleotide ribosomal RNA is filed under the name uncultured bacterium. RNAcentral describes it as "partial 16S ribosomal RNA". It matches the Rfam family "Bacterial small subunit ribosomal RNA", at positions 29 to 507 of the family's 1533-position model. The record is from RNAcentral.